This 429-nucleotide ribosomal RNA is filed under the name Chloroflexota bacterium. RNAcentral describes it as "Chloroflexi bacterium partial 16S ribosomal RNA". It matches the Rfam family "Bacterial small subunit ribosomal RNA", at positions 355 to 776 of the family's 1533-position model. The record is from RNAcentral. Lineage: Bacteria; Bacillati; Chloroflexota.
UGGGGAAUAUUGCACAAUGGGCGCAAGCCUGAUGCAGCCAUGCCGCGUGUAUGAAGAAGGCCUUCGGGUUGUAAAGUACUUUCAGUCGGGAGGAAGGUGUCAAGGUUAAUAACCUUGGCAAUUGACGUUACCGACAGAAGAAGCACCGGCUAACUCCGUGCCAGCAGCCGCGGUAAUACGGAGGGUGCAAGCGUUAAUCGGAAUUACUGGGCGUAAAGCGCACGCAGGCGGUUGAUUGAGUCAGAUGUGAAAUCCCCGGGCUUAACCCGGGAAUUGCAUCUGAUACUGGUCAGCUAGAGUCUUGUAGAGGGGGGUAGAAUUCCAGGUGUAGCGGUGAAAUGCGUAGAGAUCUGGAGGAAUACCGGUGGCGAAGGCGGCCCCCUGGACAAAGAAUGACGCUCAGGUGCGAAAGCGUGGGGAGCAAACAGG